UAGGGAAUCUUCCACAAUGGACGAAAGUCUGAUGGAGCAACGCCGCGUGAGUGAAGAAGGUUUUCGGAUCGUAAAGCUCUGUUGUUGGUGAAGAAGGAUAGAGGCAGUAACUGGUCUUUAUUUGACGGUAAUCAACCAGAAAGUCACGGCUAACUACGUGCCAGCAGCCGCGGUAAUACGUAGGUGGCAAGCGUUGUCCGGAUUUAUUGGGCGUAAAGCGAGCGCAGGCGGAAUGAUAAGUCUGAUGUGAAAGCCCACGGCUCAACCGUGGAACUGCAUCGGAAACUGUCAUUCUUGAGUGCAGAAGAGGAGAGUGGAACUCCAUGUGUAGCGGUGGAAUGCGUAGAUAUAUGGAAGAACACCAGUGGCAAAGGCGGCUCUCUGGUCUGCAACUGACGCUGAGGCUCGAAAGCAUGGGUAGCGAACAGGAUUAGAUACCCUGGUAGUCCAUGCCGUAAACGAUGAGCGCUAGGUGUUGGGGACUUUCCGGUCCUCAGUGCCGCAGCAAACGCAUUAAGCGCUCCGCCUGGGGAGUACGACCGCAAGGUUGAA
This 552-nucleotide ribosomal RNA is filed under the name uncultured bacterium. RNAcentral's name for it is "partial 16S ribosomal RNA". It matches the Rfam family "Bacterial small subunit ribosomal RNA", at positions 355 to 898 of the family's 1533-position model. The record is from RNAcentral.